UUCAUUUCACAUAAAAUAAAUCCGGUAGAAUUAAUUGUUUAAAUUGUAUCCCAGUACUUCAGCCUUGAAUUUAAGAGUUCGAGGUCAAAAUACCUUUAAUAUAUAUUGGCAAUAAUAUACACAGCUUUAAAAAUCACUACAAACAUACCCAACUGGUCAAACUUGCAAACUCAUCAGACCAGGAAGUGACUAAAAAUAACAAAUUAGAUAUUAUUUAAAUUCAACAAUUGGAGCAUAUUGGUCAUAACUUCACUACAUAUUCACGAAAUUUGUCAUGUUUAAGCUAAAUUUGAUCCUUAUAAAAU
Molecule: unclassified non-coding RNA, 305 nt
Filed under: Moritella viscosa
Lineage: Bacteria; Pseudomonadati; Pseudomonadota; Gammaproteobacteria; Alteromonadales; Moritellaceae
Description: putative sRNA
Source: RNAcentral